This is a long non-coding RNA of Oryza sativa Japonica Group (Japanese rice), 908 nucleotides long. RefSeq lists it as uncharacterized. The record is from RefSeq and is a predicted model, not a curated record. Lineage: Eukaryota; Viridiplantae; Streptophyta; Magnoliopsida; Poales; Poaceae.
UGCAUCGCUAAUAUUUGAUAACAAAAUGCAUCCACAUAUUUAUAUUUUAUCCCAAAAUAGUAUGCUUUAAAAUGGUACCAAUCUAAACAAGCCAUGCGUAAUUUUUUUUAGUACCAUGCGUUAUGAGACGAUAAAACAUGAAUAGUACUUUAUUUGUGACUUAUGUUUUUAUUUUUUAAGAAAAAUAGACGGACAAUUAAAGUUGGAUGCGAAAAAUCAUAACUACACGAAGGAUACUGAUUUACUUAUUGAUACUCGUCAACUGUAGGAGUAUAGUCUUAUCCUCUGCCCAGUGACCAGUGCAUCGAGUGGACAGGUGUGCUCCCCUCAGUCCUCCUGAAUCCUGAUGCAUUUUUCACCGCUGUUCCUAUUUCUCUUUUUUUUUUCUGUCAUCACGGCCUCAGGCAGCCUGCAUCGGAAAGCAUACACAGGCGGACAGAGAGAACAGAGAAGACCGAAGCUCAGCGUGGGUGGUGGCCGACGGAAGUUCUGCUUGUGGUCCAGCGUCGAUUUCCUCGGAUUUUACGGCUCAACGGGUCAGCACCGUCUUACGAUGAGUGACGGACGAAUCCGGCAGAAGAAGGGGGAGAAAAGAGAGGAGAUGGCGUUGUGCGCGGUGGUUGUCGGCCGACCAGAUUUGUCGUGUGGCGUUGCCAACUGCAAUCGCCCUUCUCUUCCCCAUCCUAAAAGAAGCUUCUUUUAGGAUCGAGGUGGCUCUCCUUGCCUGUUGAUGGUUGACGAUGGCGAUUUGUGGGAGGGGAGAUGGCGGCGGCUCGCGGGCAGGCAAGAUUGACUUUUUUAUUUUUAUCCUUUUUUUCUUUACAAUCCGCACCACAUUUUCGGAUUUUUCGCUAUGCAUUAAUUCCAGAUUUAUCUUCAAUUGGAACAAACACUCAAAGAUUGCAAUG